GAUGAACGCUAGCGGCAGGCUCAAUACAUGCAAGUCAAGGGGGUAGCAAUACAACCGGCGCACGGGUGAGUAACGCGUACACAACAUACCAUAUACUGGAGUAUAGCUUUGGGAAACUGAAGGUAAUCCUCCAUAACAUUGCGAGAGGGCAUCUGAUUGCAAUUAAAGUUUCGGCGGUAUAUGAUUGGUGUGCGUUUGAUUAGCUAGUUGGUAGGGUAACGGCCUACCAAGGCGACGAUCAAUAGCUGGCGUGAGAGCGCGACCAGCCACACUGGAACUGAGACACGGUCCAGACUCCUACGGGAGGCAGCAGUAGGGAAUAUUGGACAAUGGAGGAAACUCUGAUCCAGCCAUGCCGCGUGAUAGAUGAAGGCCCUCUGGGUUGUAAAUAUCUUUUAUCUGGGAAGAAACACUCCUAUUCUUAGGAACUUGACGGUACCAGAGGAAUUAAGCACCGGCUAACUCCGUGCCAGCAGCC
Molecule: ribosomal RNA, 478 nt
Filed under: uncultured bacterium
Lineage: Bacteria
Description: bacterial SSU rRNA
Rfam family: Bacterial small subunit ribosomal RNA
Source: RNAcentral